UUUGAUCCUGGCUCAGAACGAACGCUGGCGGCAGGCCUAAUACAUGCAAGUCGAGCGCGCCCUUCGGGGUGAGCGGCGGACGGGUGAGUAACGCGUGGGAAUAUGCCCUUCUCUAAGGAAUAGCCUCUGGAAACGGAGAGUAAUACCUUAUACGCCCUUUGGGGGAAAGAUUUAUCGGAGAAGGAUUAGCCCGCGUUAGAUUAGGUAGUUGGUGGGGUAAUGGCCUACCAAGCCUACGAUCUAUAGCUGGUUUGAGAGGAUGAUCAGCCACACUGGGACUGAGACACGGCCCAGACUCCUACGGGAGGCAGCAGUAGGGAAUCUUAGACAAUGGGGGCAACCCUGAUCUAGCCAUGCCGCGUGUGUGAUGAAGGCCCUAGGGUCGUAAAGCACUUUCGCCAGAGAUGAUAAUGACAGUAUCUGGUAAAGAAACCCCGGCUAACUUCGUGCCAGCAGCCGCGGUAAUACGAAGGGACCUAGCGUAGUUCGGAAUUACUGGGCUUAAAGAGUUCGUAGGUGGUUGAAAAAGUUGGUGGUGAAAUCCCAGAGCUUAACUCUGGAACUGCCAUCAAAACUUUUCAGCUAGAGUAUGAUAGAGGAAAGCAGAAUUUCUAGUGUAGAGGUGAAAUUCGUAGAUAUUAGAAAGAAUACCAAUUGCGAAGGCAGCUUUCUGGAUCAUUACUGACACUGAGGAACGAAAGCAUGGGUAGCGAAGAGGAUUAGAUACCCUCGUAGUCCAUGCCGUAAACGAUGUGUGUUAGACGUUGGAAAUUUAUUUUCAGUGUCGCAGGGAAACCGAUAAACACACCGCCUGGGGAGUACGACCGCAAGGUUAAAACUCAAAUGAAUUGACGGGGACCCGCACAAGUAGUGGAGCAUGUGGUUUAAUUCGAAGAUACGCGCAGAACCUUACCAACACUUGACAUGUUCGUCGCGACUCUAAGAGAUUAGAGUUUUCGGUUCGGCCGGACGAAACACAGGUGCUGCAUGGCUGUCGUCAGCUCGUGUCGUGAGAUGUUGGGUUAAGUCCCGCAACGAGCGCAACCCUCACUUUUAGUUGCCAUCAUUAAGUUGGGCACUCUGAAAGAACUGCCAGUGAUAAGCUGGAGGAAGGUGGGGAUGACGUCAAGUCCUCAUGGCCCUUACGUGUUGGGCUACACACGUGCUACAAUGGCAUCUACAACAGGAAGCAAAACGGCAACGUUAAGCAAAUCCCGAAAAGAUGCCUCAGUUCGGAUUGCACUCUGCAACUCGAGUGCAUGAAGCUGGAAUUACUAGUAAUCGUGGAUCAGCGUGCCACGGUGAAUGCGUUCCCGGGUCUUGUACACACCGCCCGUCACACCAUGGGAGUUGGUUCUACCU
Molecule: ribosomal RNA, 1362 nt
Filed under: uncultured bacterium
Lineage: Bacteria
Description: partial 16S ribosomal RNA
Rfam family: Bacterial small subunit ribosomal RNA
Source: RNAcentral